GCAUUGCCCAAUAAUAACAUGAUCGCCUUCUUUCACAGGCAAACACGGAGAUAUGUGCGCCAGAAUAUUUGAAUGUCUCUUCUCAUAUCUGGAGCUGUACAGAAAUUCGAAUGCAGAACCUUUUGUAUUACAGAGAGCUCAGAAGCAGGAUCCAAUAGAGGCAGACGGUAAAUGAAAUCAGGAUGAGAAAAUUACCAAAUUGGUUGAUUAAGGAGUUUGAAAUCAAAUUGAGAAACGGAGAGAUUGAAGAUUUCAGAGACAGCAGGGAGACAUUCAAAUGCUAAAGAGAAAGAAAAGUUGAAUUUAUGUGUUCAAAUGGUAAAACACGAACAAAGAAGACGAAGAAGAAGAAGAUGGAAACGAAGAUAUUGUACGAAACUAAUGAAAAAUAUA
RNAcentral lists this unclassified non-coding RNA (393 nucleotides) under Hevea brasiliensis (rubber tree). Lineage: Eukaryota; Viridiplantae; Streptophyta; Magnoliopsida; Malpighiales; Euphorbiaceae. The record is from RNAcentral.